UACUUGGUGGCGACCGGCGCACGGGUGAGUAACGCGUAUGCAACCUACCUAUCAGAGGGGAAUAACCGGCGAAAGUCGGACUAAUACCGCAUAAAACAGGGGCACCGCAUGGUGAUAUUUGUUAAAGAAAUUCGCUGAUAGAUGGGCAUGCGUUCCAUUAGGUAGUUGGUGAGGUAACGGCUCACCAAGCCGACGAUGGAUAGGGAACUGAGAGGUUGGUCCCCCACACUGGUACUGAGACACGGACCAGACUCCUACGGGAGGCAGCAGUGAGGAAUAUUGGUCAAUGGGCGGGAGCCUGAACCAGCCAAGUCGCGUGAAGGAAGAAGGAUCUAUGGUUCGUAAACUUCUUUUGCAGGGGAAUAAAGUGCAGGACGUGUCCUGUUUUGUAUGUACCCUGAGAAUAAGGAUCGGCUAACUCCGUGCCAGCAGCCGC
Molecule: ribosomal RNA, 436 nt
Filed under: uncultured bacterium
Lineage: Bacteria
Description: bacterial SSU rRNA
Rfam family: Bacterial small subunit ribosomal RNA
Source: RNAcentral